AGUGAACGCUGGCGGCAGGCCUAAUACAUGCAAGUCGAACGGCAGCACAGUGGAGCUUGCUCCAUGGGUGGCGAGUGGCGGACGGGUGAGGAAUACAUGGGAAUCUGCCCAGUCGUGGGGGAUAACGUAUGGAAACGUACGCUAAUACCGCAUGCGCCCUUCGGGGAAAGGUCGGGGACCGGCAAGGCCUGACGCGAUUGGAUGAGCCCAUGUUCGAUUAGCUAGUUGGCGGGGUAACGGCCCACCAAGGCGACGAUCGAUAGCUGGUCUGAGAGGAUGAUCAGCCACACUGGAACUGAGACACGGUCCAGACUCCUACGGGAGGCAGCAGUAGGGAAUAUUGGACAAUGGCGCAAGCCUGAUCCAGCCAUGCCGCGUGAGUGAAGAAGG
RNAcentral lists this ribosomal RNA (390 nucleotides) under uncultured bacterium. RNAcentral's name for it is "bacterial SSU rRNA". It matches the Rfam family "Bacterial small subunit ribosomal RNA", at positions 29 to 414 of the family's 1533-position model. The record is from RNAcentral.